This 429-nucleotide ribosomal RNA is filed under the name Chloroflexota bacterium. RNAcentral describes it as "Chloroflexi bacterium partial 16S ribosomal RNA". It matches the Rfam family "Bacterial small subunit ribosomal RNA", at positions 355 to 776 of the family's 1533-position model. Lineage: Bacteria; Bacillati; Chloroflexota. The record is from RNAcentral.
UGGGGAAUAUUGCACAAUGGGCGCAAGCCUGAUGCAGCCAUGCCGCGUGUAUGAAGAAGGCCUUCGGGUUGUAAAGUACUUUCAGUCGGGAGGAAGGUGUCAAGGUUAAUAACCUUGGCAAUUGACGUUACCGACAGAAGAAGCACCGGCUAACUCCGUGCCAGCAGCCGCGGUAAUACGGAGGGUGCAAGCGUUAAUCGGAAUUACUGGGCGUAAAGCGCACGCAGGCGGUUGAUUGAGUCAGAUGUGAAAUCCCCGGGCUUAACCCGGGAACUGCAUCUGAUACUGGCAAGCUUGAGUCUCGUAGAGGGGGGUAGAAUUCCAGGUGUAGCGGUGAAAUGCGUAGAGAUCUGGGGGAAUACCGGUGGCGAAGGCGGCCCCCUGGACGAAGACUGACGCUCAGGUGCGAAAGCGUGGGGAGCAAACAGG